Molecule: non-coding RNA, 410 nt
Organism: Salvia hispanica
Lineage: Eukaryota; Viridiplantae; Streptophyta; Magnoliopsida; Lamiales; Lamiaceae
Source: RefSeq, a predicted model, not a curated record
CAAAUAUUCAAGAGAGCAGCAAGAAGUGGAGGAGGAGCAAGGAGGAGUUGAGGCAGGACAUCAGUCCCUUCCAAGAGGAAUCAUCAAAACUAGGAUAAAUUGCUCAAGGGCAAGUGAGGUCAAAAAGAAUAAUUGAAUUGAAGAAUAAGCAUACCAGGUUGAACGUCAAGAGGAUGAAGUGAUGAUCGGAGUCGAUGUUGCUAAACAAUCAAGUUGAUCUCCCAACGGUUCGUGUCUUCAUACACGAAGUCGUUUAGUAAGGACUUAUUCCGCUGUGUUUUUGUGAUGUGAGAAUUGUAGAAUCUCACCAUCAACUUUGAUUUAUUUGAGGAGACGUUCAUUCUGUUUUCAAGACCAUGUAAUGAAAUACUCGGCUUCUAUGAUAUCAAUUGACUUAGUCUUUGUGUAAA